AGAAUGAACGCUGGCGGCAUGCCUAACACAUGCAAGUCGAACGAGACCUUCGGGUCUAGUGGCGCACGGGUGCGUAACGCGUGGGAAUCUGCCCUUAGGUACGGAAUAACUCAGGGAAACUUGUGCUAAUACCGUAUGAUGUCGAGAGACCAAAGAUUUAUCGCCUAGGGAUGAGCCCGCGUAGGAUUAGCUAGUUGGUGGGGUAAAGGCCUACCAAGGCUACGAUCCUUAGCUGGUCUGAGAGGAUGAUCAGCCACACUGGGACUGAGACACGGCCCAGACUCCUACGGGAGGCAGCAGUGGGGAAUAUUGGACAAUGGGCGAAAGCCUGAUCCAGCAAUGCCGCGUGAGUGAAGAAGGCCUUCGGGUUGUAAGCUCUUUUACCCGGGAAGAUAAUGACUGUACCGGAGAAUAAGCUCCGGCUAACUCCGUGCCAGCAGCCGC
Molecule: ribosomal RNA, 444 nt
Filed under: uncultured bacterium
Lineage: Bacteria
Description: SSU rRNA
Rfam family: Bacterial small subunit ribosomal RNA
Source: RNAcentral